This 433-nucleotide ribosomal RNA is filed under the name uncultured bacterium. Its description in RNAcentral is "partial 16S ribosomal RNA". It matches the Rfam family "Bacterial small subunit ribosomal RNA", at positions 29 to 507 of the family's 1533-position model. The record is from RNAcentral.
AACGAACGCUGGCGGCAUGCCUAACACAUGCAAGUCGAACGAGACCUUCGGGUCUAGUGGCGCACGGGUGCGUAACGCGUGGGAACCUGCCCUUAGGUUCGGAAUAACUCCCCGAAAGGGGUGCUAAUACCGGAUAAUGUCUUCGGACCAAAGAUUUAUCGCCUUUGGAUGGGCCCGCGUUGGAUUAGCUAGUUGGUAGGGUAAAAGCCUACCAAGGCGACGAUCCAUAGCUGGUCUGAGGGGAUGAUCAGCCACACUGGGACUGAGACACGGCCCAGACUCCUACGGGAGGCAGCAGUGGGGAAUAUUGGACAAUGGGCGAAAGCCUGAUCCAGCAAUGCCGCGUGAGUGAUGAAGGCCGUAGGGUUGUAAAGCUCUUUUACCCGGGAUGAUAAUGACAGUACCGGGAGAAUAAGCUCCGGCUAACUCCGUG